UUACAUACCUGGCAGGGGAGACACCAUGAUCAUGAAGGUGGUUCUCCCAGGGCGAGGCUCGGCCAUUGCACUCUGGCCGUGCUGAUUGUGGUUUCUUCCCUGCCGCUUCUCAGACUUUUGGCUAAGAUCAAGUGUAGUAUCUGUUCUUAUCAGUUGUCAGAGGAGUGCUGA
Small nuclear RNA from Rana temporaria (common frog), 171 nucleotides. RefSeq annotates it as U1 spliceosomal RNA. The transcript has a single exon. The record is from RefSeq and is a predicted model, not a curated record. NCBI's taxonomy places the organism in Eukaryota, Metazoa, Chordata, Amphibia, Anura, Ranidae.